AGGUAUAUUAGGAAUUUGGGGUCAAACAAAUUCCUUCACAAUAGUUUUUAUCAACAAACGAUUAAUCAAUAACAUAUCAAACUCCAAAAAAAAGUCCUAAAAAAAUCUCCGUGCAGUCUCCGAGAUAUCACUGUUUAAAGUGAAGUCAAUUCUAAGAAUUAGUGAUGGUACCGUUACUACACCAUACAACCGUAUUUUACCGGAACCGGUGUAGAUGUAAACAAUGUGCCCUGAGCAGCGUUCAUUAUUUAGAUCACUUUCUUGGCUAUUUCCAGCUAUAAGCAGCAUUUUCUAGGGGGAGAUGUUUGUUUAUCAAAAUCACGUCUGCUAUUAUGAGCUUGCUGGUUUUUCAGCUUCAUAUAGAUAAAAUAAAGAAUCAUGUCUGCUGUUAUCGUCAAUUAUUUACCUGUGUGUGAUGUCAUGAGACAACUGUGCUUUCCCUGCAUAUGAGGAAACAACUGUAUAUAACAAAAAAUAAGCCUGGAAGUAACCAGUAUAGACACAACUAAAAAGGUGUGUGUCAUCUGUGGAGAGCAUGAUGACCGUCAAGUUUCAAAACUUGGAGAAAAGGGAUGUCAAGGACUUUCAUUAGCUGCAAAAAACUAUAAAGACCAGAUUAUCGUGUUUGUUCCGGGACAAUAUGUGCAUAUCGACUGCCGUAAGACAUAUUGCCACCCAAACCAAACCAGUAGUGGAGGGAAAUCAACAUCAAACUUAAUGUCAUGUCCCAAAACCAGGCAAUCAACAAAUGGAAAUUCGUUUGACUUUGGAACAAAAUGCUUAUUUUGUGGUUCUGAUGCUAAAUUUAGAAAUGGAAAAAGAGGCAUUGACGUCCAUCCUGUUAUGACUCUAGAAUAUGAGUUGACUAUUAGGGAGUCAUGUAAAUCUAGGUGUGAUGAAUGGGGUGCUACUAUUCUUGGGCGACAUGAGUCCACAAAUGACCUUCCUGCUGUAGAAGCACGUUACCACCAAGCUUGUUCUGCUAAUUUCAGAUCAGGUUAUAAUGUACCAAAAUUGUAUAUGAAUGAGAAUGUCACGCCUAAAAAGGGUCGGCCAAUUAAUACUUCUUCUGAUCAAGCAUUUCUUCAGUUAAUGAAUUAUUUUGAAGAGCAUGAAUCUGAUCAAAUGACAGUGAAUGACCUUUGUGAGAAAAUGAACAAAUUGUGUGGUGAAUCUUCUUAUAGUAACGUAUAUAUGAAGAAGAAAAUUCUAGAACAUUUUGAUAAUAAUGUUGUUAUAACUGAACUUAAUGGAAAACAAAAUGUUGUUAUAUUUAAAACUACUGCCCAUUCUAUAUUGCAUUUAUUUUACAAAAGAAGUAAUGCAAAUGAUAAGGAUAUGGGAUAUUACUGAAACACAAAAAAUGCUGGGGUCUGAUAUUAGUUACAUUUUACCAUUUAUACAUGCAUUUACAGGUUGUGACACCACAUCGAGGAUAUAUGGUAUUGGAAAGGGUGUUGUUCUGAAAAAAGCUUUGAAUGAUUCGAACUUCAAAAACCAAGCAAAAGUUUUUAUGAACACUACUUCACAUUCUACAAUUGAGGAAGCAGGAGAAAACGCAUUCAAAUGUGUUUACAACGGAAACCAGAUUGAGGAUUUGGACGCUCUUCGAUUUAGAAAAUUUGUGCAAAAGGUUAACACAAGUAACAAUGUGGUACAAGUUGAAACUCUUCCUUCAACUAAGGCGGCAGCAAGGUUUCAUAGCUUUAGAACAUAUUUACAAGUCCAAACCUGGGUCGGUAGUGAACUAAAUCCAUUAGAGUGGGGCUGGAGAAAAGAGAAUGACGAGUUGACACCUGUAAAGUGUAAUAUGAUAGCAGCGCCUGAGCGGUUAUUAAAUGUCAUACGAUGUAACUGUAAAACCGGUUGUGAUACCAAAAGAUGUAGCUGUCGGAAACAUGGUUUAAAAUGCACGGGUUGUUGUGGUGAAUGCAAAGGAACAAGUUGUAGUAACGUACAGUAAAUUAUUGAAGAGCUGGAUAUCUAGAAUUAAAAAAAAAUCAGAUAUCUUUCAAUGUAAAUGCAAUUGGUAAAGUGUUUAACAUAAACCAUCAAAUGUUUUGUAACUUGACAUAAGCAAAGCAUAGUUGCUCAGCUAGUAGUGUUAAUUGUUACGUAUCAUCCUUUUUUUAAAUUCAAAUCAAUAAUGAGAUGAGAUUGUAUAUUUCUAACACACUUUAGGUGUUAAAUGUUUAUAUAUAUAUCGUAUUAUAUUAUAUAUAAUAUAAUAUUAUACCAAAACUGUAAUGUAGCUUGAAUAUUGCAAUUAACAAAGAAUUAUUGUUAAGUUGUUAAUGCUAGUUGUUAUGUUUUAAUAAUUCAAUAAGCAUAUUGAAAAUGCAGAAAUAUCUUGAUUAUAAAAAAACUUCAUCGAAUUAACGCAAAUUUCGAUUUUUUAGUCAAUUUGUCAUAAUAUGUUGAAUGAAAUAUUUUCAUGUUAACAUUAAGCUAAAUCAACUGUCAUACAUUUAAAGUUCUCUUUCAUGCAAAGUCUUAGAAUGAACUAUGAUUGAUUAGUAUAAUUGCUAGCGUUGAAACGAUAAGGGUUCAUGCUUUAUCACAUGUUAUUUCAUCAAAUUACUUACAAAAUGACUAAAAAAUGUAAUUUCUGAAAAAAAUAUCACUUAUUCAAGAUAGAUAAUUUAAAAAUGUUACAUAUAUAUCAUAUUCCACCAUAAAAUGAUAAAUUAACAUUGAAAUAAAUGGAAAAUGUAUGA
This is a long non-coding RNA of Dreissena polymorpha, 2717 nucleotides long. RefSeq lists it as uncharacterized. Lineage: Eukaryota; Metazoa; Mollusca; Bivalvia; Myida; Dreissenidae. The transcript is spliced from 5 exons. The record is from RefSeq and is a predicted model, not a curated record.